This 396-nucleotide ribosomal RNA is filed under the name uncultured Alphaproteobacteria bacterium. RNAcentral's name for it is "bacterial SSU rRNA". It matches the Rfam family "Bacterial small subunit ribosomal RNA", at positions 29 to 451 of the family's 1533-position model. Lineage: Bacteria; Pseudomonadati; Pseudomonadota; Alphaproteobacteria. The record is from RNAcentral.
AACGUACGCUGGCGGCACGCCUAACACAUGCAAGUCGAACGAAGUAGCAAUACUUAGUGGCAGACGGGUGAGUAACAUGUAGGUAUCUGCCCUUUGGCCUGGAAUAACACGAGGAAACUUGUGCUAAUACCGGAUAAGUCUUUACGGAGAAAGCUUUAUGCACCAUUGGAUGAGCCUGCACUUGAUUAGUUUGUUGGUGGGGUAAUGGCCUACCAAGACUGUGAUCAAUAGCUGAUUUGAGAGGAUGAUCAGCCACAUUGGGACUGAGACACGGCCCAAACUCCUACGGGAGGCAGCAGUGGGGAAUCUUGCACAAUGGAGGAAACUCUGAUGCAGCGAUGCCGCGUGAGUGAAGAAGGCCCUUGGGUUGUAAAGCUCUUUCGUCGGGGAAGAAAA